This 1277-nucleotide long non-coding RNA is filed under the name Anas platyrhynchos platyrhynchos (common mallard). Its description in RNAcentral is "lncRNA (ENSAPLG00000018065.1)". Lineage: Eukaryota; Metazoa; Chordata; Aves; Anseriformes; Anatidae. The record is from RNAcentral.
GUUAGCCCAGUGGGGGCUGGUGGGACUUCCCAUCACUCCUGCUGAAGACAGGUCUGCUGUGCAGCAAAGAACUCAAACCCUGAUCAGAUAGAGCAAACAUGACUAUGACUUAGUGGUCGGGGUAUGUGGAUGGCUGCCAAACCUUGUUGUGCAUUUUACAUUAAAUAUUUAGCAGAUAAAAUAAAGAAAUGGUUUUCUAGAGCAGGUUGCCCCUUCUCCUGGGUAAGCAAUUUGACUGCUAAACCAUGAAAGUCAUCAUUUUUUUCCCCUGCUGCAGAUGAUCCGAGAUUUCUUUGCUUUCUGAAGUCAGAAGGAAACUGGAAAGUUGGGGGUGUCCUGACAGAGGCAACCUGCAAAAUAUUUCACUGGGGGACAGCAGAAUAGCAGGAUUGUAUCACUGCUGUCAGCGGGUUUACAGGACUCAGUCUGGCUCCAGCUUGCUGGCUGUCGAGUUAUUUUACGACGCAAGUCUACUCUAAGACAAAUGAGUGAAAUGCUCUUUUUUCUAGGCUGCCCCACCCAUGCGGAGAAUGAAGGCGAUAACGUGGCUGUUUUCCACUCCGCCUGUCUGCGUGGUUCCAUGGUGACCUCUGAGCAGACAGCGGCACAAAGACACCCCGCGGCUCGAUGCGAGAGGUGGGCACAGCCAGCAGCACAGGGCACUGUUCUACCGUGGCUCCCCACAGACCUGCCACACCAGUCCUGUAUCUUUCCUCCUUCUUGAGGAGCUCUGGAACUGGGCUUUGAGAGGACAAGUGCUCGCACCAGGGGAGGGAACGCUGCCUUCCUCCAGCCACAGCCACUGGUUGGUGAGCCCAGGGACUGCUCCUUGGGCAGGACUUCCCCGAGCAGGGAUCCACCCUUUUCUGAAGUCACACCUUACAAAGAAGUGGAGUCGUGGGGAAGGUUGUGACAAGUGGGCACAGGGCGAUCUAAAGCAGGUCAGCUGCUGAAGGCUGUUUGGUCUUCGCUUAAUGCAUGAAGCGAGCAGUUCAGCCACAGGCAAAAGGUGUUGUUAGUCUCACUUCUGCAGUUUCAGGAUCCAGGACAUUUGUUUUUCUGCAAUUUGAUAUCAACACAGAGCACUCAGAUCACAUCAAUCGAUGUAGUUAGUGCUGGUAACAUGCAGCUAAGAGAGGAAUCUUUGCAGUCCAAAGCAAAUUUAGCAAAAUAUAUAAAUGUUAGUGGGGGGGGGAAAACCUCUAAAGAGAUCACUUGUGUAAAUAUGUACAUAAAAAUUUAAGCCACUUCAAUAAAGUACACACAAAUAGUUUGCA